Molecule: ribosomal RNA, 1346 nt
Filed under: uncultured bacterium
Lineage: Bacteria
Description: bacterial SSU rRNA
Rfam family: Bacterial small subunit ribosomal RNA
Source: RNAcentral
GACGAACGCUGGCGGCGUGCUUAACACAUGCAAGUCGAACGGAAAGGCCCUGCUUUUGUGGGGUGCUCGAGUGGCGAACGGGUGAGUAACACGUGAGUAACCUGCCCUUGACUUUGGGAUAACUUCAGGAAACUUGGGCUAAUACCGGAUAGGAGCUCCUGCUGCAUGGUGGGGGUUGGAAAGUUUCGGCGGUUGGGGAUGGACUCGCGGCUUAUCAGCUUGUUGGUGGGGUAGUGGCUUACCAAGGCUUUGACGGGUAGCCGGCCUGAGAGGGUGACCGGCCACAUUGGGACUGAGAUACGGCCCAGACUCCUACGGGAGGCAGCAGUGGGGAAUAUUGCACAAUGGGCGGAAGCCUGAUGCAGCAACGCCGCGUGCGGGAUGACGGCCUUCGGGUUGUAAACCGCUUUCGCCUGUGACGAAGCGUGAGUGACGGUAAUGGGUAAAGAAGCACCGGCUAACUACGUGCCAGCAGCCGCGGUGAUACGUAGGGUGCGAGCGUUGUCCGGAUUUAUUGGGCGUAAAGGGCUCGUAGGUGGUUGAUCGCGUCGGAAGUGUAAUCUUGGGGCUUAACCCUGAGCGUGCUUUCGAUACGGGUUGACUUGAGGAAGGUAGGGGAGAAUGGAAUUCCUGGUGGAGCGGUGGAAUGCGCAGAUAUCAGGAGGAACACCAGUGGCGAAGGCGGUUCUCUGGGCCUUUCCUGACGCUGAGGAGCGAAAGCGUGGGGAGCGAACAGGCUUAGAUACCCUGGUAGUCCACGCUGUAAACGGUGGGUACUAGGUGUGGGGUCCAUUCCACGGGUUCCGUGCCGUAGCUAACGCUUUAAGUACCCCGCCUGGGGAGUACGGCCGCAAGGCUAAAACUCAAAGGAAUUGACGGGGCCCCGCACAAGCGGCGGAGCAUGCGGAUUAAUUCGAUGCAACGCGUAGAACCUUACCUGGGUUUGACAUGGAUCGGGAGCGCUCAGAGAUGGGUGUGCCUCUUUUGGGGUCGGUUCACAGGUGGUGCAUGGCUGUCGUCAGCUCGUGUCGUGAGAUGUUGGGUUAAGUCCCGCAACGAGCGCAACCCUUGUUCACUGUUGCCAGCACGUUAUGGUGGGGACUCAGUGGAGACCGCCGGGGUCAACUCGGAGGAAGGUGGGGAUGACGUCAAGUCACCAUGCCCCUUAUGUCCAGGGCUUCACGCAUGCUACAAUGGCUGGUACAGAGAGUGGCGAGCCUGUGAGGGUGAGCGAAUCUCGGAAAGCCGGUCUCAGUUCGGAUUGGGGUCUGCAACUCGACCUCAUGAAGUCGGAGUCGCUAGUAAUCGCAGAUCAGCAACGCUGCGGUGAAUACGUUCCCGGGGCU